Molecule: small nuclear RNA, 161 nt
Organism: Sphaeramia orbicularis (orbiculate cardinalfish)
Lineage: Eukaryota; Metazoa; Chordata; Actinopteri; Kurtiformes; Apogonidae
Gene: U1
Rfam family: U1 spliceosomal RNA
About the family: U1 is a small nuclear RNA (snRNA) component of the spliceosome (involved in pre-mRNA splicing).
Source: Ensembl
AUGGUUACCUGGUAGGGGACAUACUAAGAUCAAGAAGGUGGUUCACUCAGGGCGAGGCUCAACCAUUGCACUCCAGUUGUGCUGACCCCUGCGAAUUCCCCGAAUGUGGGAAUCUUGACUGCAUAAUUUCUAGUGGGGGUCUGCAUUCGCACCCUCCCCUG